CAGCAGCCGCGGUAAUACGAAGGGGGCUAGCGUUGUUCGGAUUUACUGGGCGUAAAGGGCGCGUAGGCGGACUGAUAAGUCAGGGGUGAAAUCCCAAGGCUCAACCUUGGAACUGCCUUUGAUACUGUUUGUCUUGAGUUCGAGAGAGGUAAGUGGAACUGCGAGUGUAGAGGUGAAAUUCGUAGAUAUUCGCAAGAACACCAGUGGCGAAGGCGGCUUACUGGCUCGAUACUGGCGCUGAGGCGCGAAAGCGUGGGGAGCAAACAGGAUUAGAUACCCCCGUAGUCCCUGUCUCUUAUAA
This 301-nucleotide ribosomal RNA is filed under the name uncultured bacterium. RNAcentral describes it as "partial 16S ribosomal RNA". It matches the Rfam family "Bacterial small subunit ribosomal RNA", at positions 509 to 809 of the family's 1533-position model. The record is from RNAcentral.